UGCGGGUAUAGUUUAGUGGUAAAAUUAGCCUUCCAAGCUAACGAUUGCGG
This 50-nucleotide transfer RNA is filed under the name Cheilolejeunea ventricosa. RNAcentral's name for it is "partial tRNA-Gly". Lineage: Eukaryota; Viridiplantae; Streptophyta; Jungermanniopsida; Porellales; Lejeuneaceae. The record is from RNAcentral.